UUGGAUGUGGUGUAGUGGUAACACGGCCCUUCUUCCUAUCCAAGAAAUGAUAAAAUGGCGGGCAGCUCAGGGUUCGAUUCCUUGCAUCUAAA
Mycena maculata is the source of this 92-nucleotide non-coding RNA. The record is from the annotation of a GenBank genome assembly. NCBI's taxonomy places the organism in Eukaryota, Fungi, Basidiomycota, Agaricomycetes, Agaricales, Mycenaceae.